This 253-nucleotide ribosomal RNA is filed under the name uncultured bacterium. Its description in RNAcentral is "partial 16S ribosomal RNA". It matches the Rfam family "Bacterial small subunit ribosomal RNA", at positions 524 to 776 of the family's 1533-position model. The record is from RNAcentral.
UACGUAGGCAGCGAGCGUUGUUCGGAGUUACUGGGCGUAAAGGGUGUGUAGGUGGAUCGUUAAGUACCUUGUGAAAUCCCACGGCUUAACCGUGGAACUGCUUGGCAUACUGGCGGUCUUGAGCCACUUAGGGGCAACCGGAACAAAUGGUGGAGCGGUGAAAUGCGUAGAUAUCAUUUGGAACGCCAAUGGUGAAAACAGGUUGCUGGGAGUGUGCUGACGCUGAGACACGAAAGCCAGGGGAGCGAACGGG